GCCCGGUUGGCUCAGCGGUUUAGCGCCUGCCUUUGGCCCAGGGUCCUGGGAUUGAAUCCCACAUCGGGCU
Molecule: transfer RNA, 70 nt
Filed under: Canis lupus familiaris (dog)
Lineage: Eukaryota; Metazoa; Chordata; Mammalia; Carnivora; Canidae
Also listed under: 1 other name
Rfam family: tRNA
About the family: Transfer RNA (tRNA) molecules are approximately 80 nucleotides in length.
Source: Rfam by way of RNAcentral